UUGCCCGUUAACAAGCACGAUGGGAGGCUCGAAGGAGAUGGUCACUGCAACGAUCGCAGGGAACUGCACGUGGCAUACUCAGAUCGACGCAGCAACUUUGACAGAGCAAACUUGGUAGUGCUACAACACCUAGACGAGGUAGAUCCUUUCGUGGCACUGCACAAAGAAAUUAUCGCAAAGAAGUAUCGUGACCGGGGGGUAUGCAGGACGAACGCCGAAGUUACUAGAGAGCACAACUCCACUUUCCUGCAUUGGUUCAAAGAGCAUAUUAUUGCUAAUCCCCCGGAGGAGGGCUCUAAG
Molecule: ribosomal RNA, 300 nt
Filed under: Triticum aestivum (bread wheat)
Lineage: Eukaryota; Viridiplantae; Streptophyta; Magnoliopsida; Poales; Poaceae
Description: partial small subunit ribosomal RNA
Source: RNAcentral